UUGGGCAGGACCAGCCAGUCUUUGGAGAUCUCUCUGCCAACCCCACAGGGAAACAUGAUGCUGUGGAUCCAGUUGUUUCUCAUUGCAGCAGCACUGGAAGGUGCCCUCUCCCAGGUGGUUCUCACCCAAUCAGGGGCAGCCAUGAAGAAGCCUGGAGAAUCCCACACACUGCAAUGUGUCACCAGUGGGUUCACCCUCAGUGACUAUGGGAUGAACUGGGUCAGGCAGGUACCUGGAAAGGGGCUGGAGUGGCUGAUCUAUUAUUACAGCACCAGCUACAAUUUUUAUGCCUCCUCCAUCAAGGGGCGAUUCACAGCCUCCAAGGACAGUUCCACCUUCUACCUACAAAUGAGCAGCCUGGAAGCUAGUGACACAGCUGUGUAUUACUGUGCAAGAUACACAGGGAUGGAAAGUGAAAGGGAGCUCAGACAAAAACCCUUCGCUGCAAUAGCAGAUGGCCUGCUGUGCUGA
This is a non-coding RNA of Alligator sinensis (Chinese alligator), 471 nucleotides long. Lineage: Eukaryota; Metazoa; Chordata; Crocodylia; Alligatoridae. The record is from the annotation of a RefSeq genome assembly.